This 954-nucleotide long non-coding RNA is filed under the name Triticum aestivum (bread wheat). Its description in RNAcentral is "long non-coding RNA (TAES_LNC025292)". The record is from RNAcentral. Lineage: Eukaryota; Viridiplantae; Streptophyta; Magnoliopsida; Poales; Poaceae.
AACAACAGCUAUCUAUAUGGUUCCUAACUCCUUCCUCCAAAAAUAUUUUAUCAAGCUCGAUCAAAUGUAACAGGCGCCUCUCGGUUUGGAAAUUGGAACUACACUACUUAACCCCAUCAUGCAUGCUUGCAUGGAUCAAUGCAGGGCAAGGCAGCAAAUAAUGAAGCCGCAACUGUUACUUGUACUUGCUAAUUGUGUAAACCCAUGCCAAAGUUGACUUGAUGGAAUCUAAUCCUGCAGGCUGGCAUGCAUCAACCAGUAACACCAUUAUGUUUGGAGCUGCUAGAGAGAUCACAUCAGAUGUGCUGGUUUGCAACAUUUGGUGCGUGCGUCCGUCCGCAUUGAAGGUACGUACAUGUAUGAAUGUGAAUGGAACGCAUUCAUGAUUUGUUUCCUUUCUUUCUCCAUUGAUCACUUAGCAUGAUUGAAGGGGAAAAGGGGGAUGUGUAGUGUGGCAGUGUCAUAUACCAUGUACAUGUUGCCUAAAUAAAAGGCUAAAACUUGUAAGAGCCCCCAGUACCAGUGACAUGACUUUGCACAAUAAUGCACAAGUGGCAUGCAUGGUUGGUUGUACACCACCACCAGAGCUAGCUUGUAUUAGCCUCGAUCCCCCACUGCUCACCUGAUGUGUUGCUCGCCACCUGCUCCCGCUUGGCUCGUUUCUGUUGAGCUGCUAAAACUGGAGCUGCGGAUGAUUAGCACUGCCACUAUAGCCAUGCCACGGCACAUGCAUGUGUGUAUACGCAUAUGCAUGUACGUUCAUGCAUCCAUGCAUAGCAUCGCUGCACAAGGAUAUCGUAUGAAUUACAUCUUCACAUAUGCACAUUAUAUGACAGCCGAAUAGUAGAGUCGCUUUUUGCCCCAUCGAUCUGAGUCCUGGUGUGGGUGUGCCUGAAAACCUGCAGGUGUCUGACGGAAGUCUUUCUCUAGCUAGCUACCUGAGGUAUCAAAACG